UACGUAGGGUGCGAGCGUUAAUCGGAAUUACUGGGCGUAAAGCGUGCGCAGGCGGUUCGUUGUGUCGGCGGUGAAAGCCCCGGGCUCAACCUGGGAAUGGCCGUUGAAACUGGCGAACUGGAAUGUGGCAGAGGGGGGUGGAAUUCCACGUGUAGCAGUGAAAUGCGUAGAGAUGUGGAGGAACACCGAUGGCGAAGGCAGCCCCCUGGGUUAACACUGACGCUCAGGCACGAAAGCGUGGGGAGCAAACAGG
RNAcentral lists this ribosomal RNA (253 nucleotides) under uncultured bacterium. Its description in RNAcentral is "partial 16S ribosomal RNA". It matches the Rfam family "Bacterial small subunit ribosomal RNA", at positions 524 to 776 of the family's 1533-position model. The record is from RNAcentral.